This is a long non-coding RNA of Vidua chalybeata, 580 nucleotides long. RefSeq lists it as uncharacterized. The record is from RefSeq and is a predicted model, not a curated record. The transcript is spliced from 2 exons. NCBI's taxonomy places the organism in Eukaryota, Metazoa, Chordata, Aves, Passeriformes, Viduidae.
CGAGUUAUACCCUAUUAUAGCCGAGUUAUACCCGAUUAUAACCGAGUUAUACCUGAUCAUAACCAAGUUAUACUCGAUUAUAGCCCAGUUAUACCGGGAUUAUAACCGAGUUAUACCUGAUCAUAACCGAGUUUUACCCUAUUAUAGCCGAGUUAUACCCGAUUAUAACCGAGUUAUACCCGAUUAUAGCCGAGUUAUACCAGGUUAUAACCGAGUUAUACCCUAUUAUAGCCGAGUUAUACCCGAUUAUAACCGAGUUAUACCUGAUCAUAACCGAGUUAUACCCUAUUAUAGCCGAGUUAUACCAGAUGGGAGUGAGAAAAAAGGGAACAAGCGGCGCUGUGAGGGAACAUAAAACACCGACCACGAUGGGAGUGCUGGUGUGAAUACAGUCAGAAUUAGGAAAUUCAGGAAGAGUCACCAGACAUAAAAGGAUGGAAGGCAAAAUGUGGGAUUUGCUUUAUCCUUCCAGCUGGUUUGUUUGGAGCUGCAAGGGUUUUAGUGGCUCAGGUGAUUCUUCUGCAAAAUUUUGUAAAUGAAAGUGCGUAAUUUUGUAAAUAAAAACUUUAGAAAGUCUCAA